This is a long non-coding RNA of Salarias fasciatus (jewelled blenny), 1196 nucleotides long. RefSeq lists it as uncharacterized. NCBI's taxonomy places the organism in Eukaryota, Metazoa, Chordata, Actinopteri, Blenniiformes, Blenniidae. The transcript has 5 exons. The record is from RefSeq and is a predicted model, not a curated record.
CCACCGAUUUUUCACAGAACUAAAACAACAAUAACGUUCAAUCUUUCUUGUGAAAAGUGAUCCCAGAGUCCUGCUUUCAGUAGUUCCCUGAUCAGCCCAACAAUAUGCUGCCAGUGCCGUGGCACCUUGACUUCUCUGGAGCUUCUUCACAGACAUGAGGACCGUUCCAAGAUGGCCGCCGUAUUCCCUGCACCGCAGCAGCCGAUGUGGCGUCUCCUGUUUAUGUCUGUGGUUACAACUGACCGUGUUACAACUGUCCCCAGUCUCCCUACUGGAAUGAAAAGAAUGUUCACGGCUCUACGUCACUGAAAAACGGCUCUCCAGAGAGUCAGCUUGAGAAAACCAACACUGACCAGAGCUGAGUUUAACUCUACACACAUGUAUGUUUGAGUCCACUCUUUAGUUAAUUCAACACUGGUGAAUUUGCAGAGCAGGAAGUGACCAUGCUUCAAUUUCAACUACUAAUUUAAAUUCAACCUGAACUGAUUGUUUGGACUGAUGAAUGUUUUCCGUUUUGUCCUGAAAACUGCCUUGAAAUGCAAAACAACAGAAAUUUAAACAUGGAAUUCAAAGUUUGACUAUUCACGAUUAGCUGUGCAAAUUCUGUGAUUAAUCUCAAUCAAAAAUCUUUUAACAUCCCCGUUUUCAACAUUUCAAUCAGAAAGACUUUGGUGUUUUCUUCUCUCUCAGUCUCGCUUUCUUUAAACUGCAACUGCAACCAUGAUUUUAUUCUGAAGAGCUGAUCUGUGUCUCACUUCCUCUGAUGGGAGGGUCUCAUUUAAAAAAGGAAGAAAAAAUCAAGGAGGAGAAGCAGAAAACAGGAAGUGAAGCGCUGAGUUCAGACUCCACUGACAGCCUGAGAGAAGAAGCAGUGACUGAAGAUGAGUGGUGUGGAUGAAGAGGAGGACGGACCAGAGUGUGUGGACAGACUCACAGCAGAGUCCUCAGGAUCCAGCAGGUUGUCUCUGAAGAAUGACCGGUCCAGACGUAGUCCACUAUUCUUCAGUGCUGAACCUGGACCUUCAGACUCAAAACACACAGCAGAGUCUUCAGGAUCCAGCAGGUUGUCUCUGAAGAGUGACUGGUCCAGAGAUCGUCCACCAUUCUUCAGUGCUGAACCAGGACCUUCAGACUCAAAAAAGAGGAAGAGGACUGAUGUGUGUGAGGAGCAGCCAGAAAGAUCCAGAAGCGCCGCU